This 76-nucleotide transfer RNA is filed under the name bacterium. RNAcentral describes it as "tRNA-Ala". It matches the Rfam family "tRNA". From Rfam's summary of the family: Transfer RNA (tRNA) molecules are approximately 80 nucleotides in length. The record is from RNAcentral.
GGGGGUUUAGCUCAGCUGGGAGAGCACCUGCCUUGCACGCAGGGGGUCAAUAGUUCGAUCCUCUUAACCUCCACCA